Molecule: ribosomal RNA, 342 nt
Filed under: uncultured eukaryote
Lineage: Eukaryota
Description: LSU rRNA
Rfam family: Bacterial large subunit ribosomal RNA
Source: RNAcentral
GCAGGAUAGGUGGGAGGCGUUGAAAGUUUUCUUGCGGGAAGAUUUGAGCCAUUGGUGAGAUACCACUCUAACAAUGCUAGGAUUCUAACCCUAUGUCGUUAUCCGGCUAGGGGACAGUUUCAGGUGGUCAGUUUGACUGGGGCGGUCGCCUCCUAAAAGGUAACGGAGGCGUGCAAAGGUUCCCUCAGGCUGGUUGGAAAUCAGUCGUAGAGUGUAAAGGCAUAAGGGAGCUUGAUUGUGAGACCUACAAGUCGAACAAAGACGAAAGUCGGCCUUAGUGAUCCGGCGGUACCGAGUGGAAGGGCCGUCGCUCAACGGAUAAAAGUUACUCUAGGGAUAACA